Molecule: RNA transcript, 1727 nt
Organism: Arachis stenosperma
Lineage: Eukaryota; Viridiplantae; Streptophyta; Magnoliopsida; Fabales; Fabaceae
Gene name: protein NSP-INTERACTING KINASE 1-like
Exons: 3
Source: RefSeq, a predicted model, not a curated record
CAAAGAACAUAACCUAGCCUCUCUCCCUAGGUCUCAGCACAGCCUCGCUCUCUUCACCUCUCAAUGUCGGCGAGGGUCCGUUCCUCCCACCACCUCGCCGCGCCGCCGACCUUCCUCGCAGCAUCACCCUUCCACUGCACCCUUACCCCCUUACCCCCACACCCCACCCCCAACCUAACCCCUUACCCCCACACCUUACACCCAAAUGAAACCUAGCCAGUAGCCACUCUCUUCUCACACUCUCGCUCUCUGCACUCUCGAGGCCUGCGGCGAAACCACCUAGCGCCGGCGAGACCGUUCCUCCCACCACCUUGCAGCGCCGCCGAACUCUCCCCCCUAACGCCUCUGAACCUUCCUCCAAUUACUCCCUGGACCUCCUCGCGGACAGAGCACAACGAAGCCCCAACCCCAGCCAGCAGUGAGCAGCCCAACACCACCCUCGCACCCAGCAGUAGCAUAGCACCACCCACUCACCCAGCACAGCACCACGCCACCACCCAGUAGCGUUUCUGGCCACCCACAACUUAGCACCUCCGACCCAGCCACCGAUUCAAGUCAGAUAUGGAGUCGGAGUCACCGAGUCAGUAUGGAGCUUUCAGGAUCUUUGUCUCCUUUUGUUGCCAAUAUGACAGCUCUGACUAAUAUCUGGCUUGGGAAUAACAAUUUGUCAAGGCACAUUCCUGACCUAGGUUCACUAACACUGUUAGAAACAUUGUAAGUAAGUCAUUUUGUAUGCAAUUCCAUGAUCUAAAUGUUUGAAAUCAGAGAACUUUGAUGUAUUCAUGCCAUGAAGCUCACUAUCUGGAUAUUAUUAUCGUAUUUAAAGGCACUUGGAAGACAAUCAAUUCGACGAAGAGAUUCCUUCAUCUUUAAGGAACAUAAACACUUUGCAUGAAGUAUAAGCUCUGUCCUCUUUAUACAAGAGAAUUAAACUGGUUUUUGUGCUGUUUCUUGAAUCCUGAGUAGAUAUUUAAGUCAGCCCUAUACAACUACAUUGUUUACAUGAGUGUGGCCCAAAAAUGGUACAAUUUAUUUGAAUUCCUUUUGUCGAUAAAUUUUAUUGGAUCAAGACUUUGUUAGCUAUUGUGUAUUUGCGUUUGUCGAUUUCAAUUUUAUGACUUUGUGAAAUAGUAUGGCAGUAUUUUUUUUUGAAUUGAUUGAAAAACUGAACAAACCGAACCAAACCAAAUCGAUUUUAAUGGGUUUGGUUUGGUUCGGAUGGCCUUGAUAAAAAACCGAACCGCAGUUUAAUUAAACGAUUGGAUCAGAUGGCUUUUCUCUCAAAAACCGAACCAAACCACACCGCGAACACCCCUAGUCAAAGCUAGCAAAAAAUUAAACUUAGUUUCAGUUAACCAUAAAUUUGGUUUUGGUUAAAUAUAUUAACUAGUAACUAGGGGUAGCAAACGGGCCUAAAUUUACCGGCCCGACCUGUGUAACCUGCCAAAAAAGAUGGGCCGGACUGAAAAAUUGGGACCGCCAAAUAGCAAAAGCCCACUUAACCUGCACCGCUUAAACCGCGGGCUUUGGCGGGGCAGGACAGGCUUCCUCGUCGGGCUUAGUGUUUUUUUGGUAAGGGGUAUUUUUGUAAUUUUUUGGCCAAAACCUAACUUCUCCCAACCAAACUUACAAGAGAAUAAAGAUGAAAAUUGAGUGUUUUGGAUUAUGUUUAUUUUGUUUUGGAGACAAUAUUUAUAAUUAUGCUUUGGAUUAUGUUUAUUUUGAUU